This 466-nucleotide ribosomal RNA is filed under the name uncultured bacterium. Its description in RNAcentral is "bacterial SSU rRNA". It matches the Rfam family "Bacterial small subunit ribosomal RNA", at positions 331 to 794 of the family's 1533-position model. The record is from RNAcentral.
CCAGACUCCUACGGGAGGCAGCAGUGAGGAAUAUUGGUCAAUGGCCGUAAGGCUGAACCAGCCAAGUAGCGUGAGGGAAGACUGCCCUAUGGGUUGUAAACCUCUUUUAUGCGGGGAUAAAGGUGUCCACGUGUGGAUGUUUGCAGGUACCGCAUGAAUAAGGACCGGCUAAUUCCGUGCCAGCAGCCGCGGUAAUACGGAAGGUCCGGGCGUUAUCCGGAUUUAUUGGGUUUAAAGGGAGCGUAGAUGGGUUGUUAAGUCAGUUGUGAAAGUUUGCGGCUCAACCGUAAAAUUGCAAUUGAUACUGGCAGUCUUGAGUACAGUUGAGGUAGGCGGAAUUCGUGGUGUAGCGGUGAAAUGCUUAGAUAUCACGAAGAACUCCGAUUGCGAAGGCAGCCUUCCGGCGCCCUACUGACGCUGAGGCACGAAAGUGCGGGGAUCGAACAGGAUUAGAUACCCGAGUAUA